Molecule: non-coding RNA, 18 nt
Filed under: Arabidopsis thaliana (thale cress)
Lineage: Eukaryota; Viridiplantae; Streptophyta; Magnoliopsida; Brassicales; Brassicaceae
Source: RNAcentral
GGCCAAGGAAGUUUGAGG